AAUGGAUGGAAAUCUGAUCCAGCCAUGCCGCGUGCAGGAAGGCGGCCCUAUGGGUUGUAAACUGCUUUUGUACGGGAGCAAUAAGGUCUACGAGUAGAUUGAUGAGAGUACUGUACGAAUAAGCAUCGGCUAACUCCGUGCCAGCAGCCGCGGUAAUACGGAGGAUGCGAGCGUUAUCCGGAUUUAUUGGGUUUAAAGGGUGCGUAGGCUGUUAUGUAAGUCAGUGGUAAAAGGUACAGGCUUAACUUGUAUAUGCCAUUGAAACUGUAUAGCUAGGAUAUGGAUGAAGUGUGCGGAAUGUGUGGUGUAGCGGUGAAAUGCAUAGAUAUCACACAGAACACCGAUAGCGAAGGCAGCACACUAAGGCAAUAUUGACGCUGAGGCACGAAAGUGUGGGGAUCAAA
RNAcentral lists this ribosomal RNA (404 nucleotides) under uncultured bacterium. RNAcentral describes it as "bacterial SSU rRNA". It matches the Rfam family "Bacterial small subunit ribosomal RNA", at positions 370 to 772 of the family's 1533-position model. The record is from RNAcentral.